AAUCAGAGACUGGGCUCAUUAGAAAGCUGACCUGAAUUGGGGCUGAGUUCAUAUAAAGCCGACCUGAAUUGAAGGCUGAAUGCUAACCAGGCUCAACCCAGCUUAUCUAAAUACCGACUUGAGCUACCUAAAUUGACUUUCGAUGAAAUAUUAUAAUCAGAUCAUAUAAAUAUCGAUCUGACUCAUUUCAGAUCAUAUAAAUAUCGAUCUGAAG
This 214-nucleotide long non-coding RNA is filed under the name Elaeis guineensis (African oil palm). RNAcentral's name for it is "long non-coding RNA (EGUI_LNC076614)". Lineage: Eukaryota; Viridiplantae; Streptophyta; Magnoliopsida; Arecales; Arecaceae. The record is from RNAcentral.